RNAcentral lists this ribosomal RNA (298 nucleotides) under Ixodes ricinus (castor bean tick). RNAcentral describes it as "partial 12S ribosomal RNA". The record is from RNAcentral. Lineage: Eukaryota; Metazoa; Arthropoda; Arachnida; Ixodida; Ixodidae.
UAAAAUUUUGGCGGUAUUUUAAGCUUGUUAGAGGAAUUUGCUCUAUAAUGGAUACAACGCCUAUAUCUUACUUAAUUUUGUAAUUAAAGUCAGUUUGUAUACCACUAUAUUUAAUUAUAUUGAAUAAUUAUAUUUAAGAUUUUUAUAUAAAUAUAUAUUAAGUCAAGGUGCAACAAAUAAUUAUGAGUGAAGUGAAUUACAUUAAUUUUAAUGAUAUUUUGAUAGUGAAAAAAAAUUUAGGAUUUAAUAGUAAAAUAUUAAUAUAAUGAAUAUUUGAAUUAAGCUCUAAAAUAUGCAC